CUUCACUCGGCGGCGGCGCACGCGCCCCGCGGCUGGACCUGGUGCUGGGGCGGCUGGUGCGGCCUGGCUCUCCCCCGCCGUGGGGGCUCGGCUCCAUGGCCGCCGUGUUCCUCGUCACGCUCUACGAGUACUCGCCGCUUUUCUACAUCACCGUGGUGUUCGUCUGCUUCCUCGUCACCAGCGGCCUGGUGCUGGGCUGGUUUGGGUUGGGUGUUCCUGUUAUUCUGAGAAACUCAGAAGAAGCAGAAUCCAGCACAAGAGUUUUGAAAAAGCGGAUGAGACAAGUGAAGAAUCCUUUUGGGUUAGAAAUCCCUCAUCCUGCUACAGCUUCAGUAACAAAGGGUAUAACACUGACACCUGAUUGUCUGGAAGACUGUAUUCUUACAUGCUACUGGGGCUGCAGUGUUCAAAAACUCCAUGAAGCAUUGCAGAAACACGUCUACUGCUUCAGAAUAAAGACUCCUCAGGCAUUAGAGGAUGCUCUAUACAGCGAAUACCUCUAUCAACAACAGUACUUCAUUAAAAAAAAUGACAAGGAAGAAAAAUAUUGUCAGUUACCAGAAGAUGCUCAAGUUGUCGAUUUUGGCCCAGUGCCUAGAUCUCGCUAUCCGUUGAUAGCAUUGUUGACGUUAGCUGAUGAAGAAGACAGAGAAAUAUAUGAUAUUAUUUCAAUGGUGGCUGUAAUUCACAUUCCUGAUGAGAGCUACAGACUUUCCUGCAGAAUAUUAUAUCAGUAUCUACUUCUAGCUCAAGGUCAAUACCAUGAUCUGAAGCAACUCUUCAUGUCUGCAGAUAGUACUGCGCCGUCUCCAAGCGCUGAGUCCCCUGGUGAGAGAAGCACUGACAGAAGCUUGCUAGAAAAGGCUGGACUGGCUGAAGAUGAACCAGAAUUGCAUGAAGAAAACAGCAAAGACUGUGUUGUUUGCCAGAAUGGCACAGUGAACUGGGUACUCCUGCCCUGCAGGCAUGCCUGCUUGUGUGAUGGUUGCAUUAAGUAUUUUCAGCAGUGUCCAAUGUGUAGGCAGUUUGUUCAAGAAUCUUUUCCACUUUGCAGUAAAAAGGAGCAAGAUGAAGAUGACUCGACCCAUAUCUUGCAAGAUGUUCUUCCUGGAAGAGUUUUUUAAUGUGAGGGAACAAAAAUAAAAGAACCGGGUUGUGUGCACCACAAUUAAAUGUAGAAAACAGACUGUUUAUGGGAGGAUAUGUAGCAUUAAGUUGUCUGGUUUUGCUUUUUAUUGUUAGGUAAUUUUCAGCUUCCUUAUUUGUCUUUACUCCAUAUGCUCACAGGAACACUACGUUUAUCCGUGCAAUGUGGACAGAAGAAGUGCGUAGGAUAUCUUUGAAGGAUGCGAUUUUAUUUAUAACUUACUAGUUUUUCAUGGAGUACUAUUGGAGGCUAUUUUGAUUACUAAAUUUAGUAUAUCUACUAAAAAAAGAAUAAAACUUGCAAGUGAAGUUGCACACAGCUCAUUCUAUAUUUAUUGUAUUUAAAAUACUAGAGCGGAAUAUCGUUUUAACUCAGUAUAAUUUAGAAACGUAGCACUUUACAGACUGUAUCAAAUUAUUCUUCAUUGUUAAGCCCGUAUAUAUUUAUUUUGUAGAUGAAGGCUGGACUGUGGCAGGAGCUGGGAGUUGAAGGCGUGAUUCAGGAUACUGUUUCUGGCUGUUUUGAGAGAUUGUGUGUGUGCAUGCAUGCGUGUGUGUGUGAGGGACCUUAGCCAAAGCCCGUUGGAACGAGUGGAAGGAUUUUUGUUGAUUGCUGUUGGCUUGAGCGAAAUGUUGCUGACACUUUCAAGCCUGAGCCUCUGCUGCGUCAUCUUGAGACACAGACUUUCAGUCUUGUUAGCACUGGCUGUAAGAACUUGCUCUCCAUGCACAUGUUCAUUAAUUACUCGAUAGAGUAGUUACUUGGGCAGUUUUGUGGUGCUAUUCUUACAUGAGAGUAGGCUGCUUUGGGGAAUUUCCAACUCUUUACUUGCAUUGUCAGCUUGGCUACAGAGUUAACCAUUUACCUUUUAUCAGUUGUCCCAGGGAAUUUACUUACUCUAAUAGAAGCUAAAGAAUAGCAGAAAAUGAUUUCUUUUUCCCUCCAAUGGUGUAUUGUCAAAAGCAAUAAAGAUGGCUGUUGAGAAGAGAAAUUGUUGGUUUGCUUCUUGAGAGAGAGAUAAGUCUUAUAAAGAGAGAUGGGCUGGGUUUCACAUCUGCUUAUGUAAGACAAAAAUACAAACGCUCAUUAGAACCUGUAGAAAAUGGGGAGUAGCUGCUUUCUGUCCUCCCUCUUGUUCCCUUGCAGCUUUGCCCCACAUCCAAUUCCAGGACAGCUGCUCCAUCUCAGGGAGAGAAAGCCGUGCUCCAAGCUAUUCAGCUGCACUCCCCAGCUCCUGUAAUGAUGCUGCACACCUCCAAACCACGGAAGGAAGCUUCCCCUUACUCAAAGGUAUUCCAUCUUCAUCUUUCCAUCGUUCUUUUUUUUUUUUUUGGUUUAUUUUGCCAUGACCUUGCUUCCAAACUUCUGGUGAUUGCCUCGGAGGAAAAGAUUUAGGUGGUGGUGGUGGAAAGAGCAAUGCUUACUUAUAAAGGCAGAGGUUGGGAAUUGAUGGAUGUAGCCACAGAUUUCCAGCCAGUGACCAGUAGGCUGUUUGUAAUACAACUUAUUUAGUCUACGUAAAGUGACCUUCCUUGCCAGGGACAACUUUGGAAUAAACUGCUGGCCAAAUCAGCCUUUUGUUUGCACUGUAUAUCAAACAGGAAUUAAAUACCUGGGUGUCUCCAGGGACUGAUCAGUGCUUGCAAGAGAACUUUGGAAGACAGAUGUUUCGGUGUGGAAAUCAUUAUGGCAAAGAGUGGUGUAUGUGCUGCAAUUCAGGAGGCUGAGAACAGCAAGUGGAGAGUAGAGAAGAAUGUAAUAGCAGAAGGAAUAAGUGAUGGUGGCAGCAAGGCCAUACCUCAGACACUCUUGAGUUUGGAGGCAGUGAGACCCCAGAGAUCUACUGGGGUCACAAUGCAUCAGUCUUCUGCCACCGGAAUUGACUGUGAGAUACAGAUGUUCUGUGGCUUCUUAGCUGGUCAGUGCAGCACAGACACCAUGCUCGAAGGUAUUUGAUUUUUGUCUCCAGUUCCUGAGGCUUCUCGAUUUCGAGGAUUUGCCCUGGAGGGAAGGAGCCUAGAGUGCAAGCUCAAAAUGCACCAGCUUGCAGGAAGCCUGGGGUGGGAUAUUGCUGGCAGUGAGGCCGAGGAUAAUUACAGCAAGCGGGGAGCCCCGAGGGAGUCAAGGCACUGUGUUUUCUCAUGCGGCUGAGCCGCUUGCCAAGGUUAGCAGACCCCUUUCUAUGGCAGCACAUUUCAUUGAUCAAAGUAAGAGCAGGGCAGCGAUUUACAGCAUAUGACAGCUUGAAAAGCAAUGCUUUUCACCAGGCGGUGCCAUACACGGAGACAAGAUUGACAACCCAGCUGCUGCCUUUCUUUUGAAAGCCGGCUUCUUCCUAGGUGGUCAGUACCAGACUCUGGCUGGAGCGUCUGCAGCAUCAUCCAAACCCUCCUCCGCUGGGACAGCUUGAAUGACACAAGAAGUUACCUUUACCUUUCGCUAUAGGGCCAAAAGAAGGAUGUUUGCCAAGAGCCGGUGGAUUCACAUUUAAGAAUGGCUAUAGCUUUUCCAGUCUCUCAAUCUUUAAGUAUCUUCCCAGAGACAUGAAAAUGUGUAAAUAAGUCUGCCAGCUCCAAAACCCUUUUAGCGCCAACUUUUGAACAAAAAUG
Molecule: RNA transcript, 3756 nt
Organism: Chroicocephalus ridibundus (black-headed gull)
Lineage: Eukaryota; Metazoa; Chordata; Aves; Charadriiformes; Laridae
Gene: CGRRF1
Gene name: cell growth regulator with ring finger domain 1
Exons: 7
Source: RefSeq, a predicted model, not a curated record